This 246-nucleotide long non-coding RNA is filed under the name Panax ginseng (ginseng). Its description in RNAcentral is "long non-coding RNA (PGIN_LNC014001)". Lineage: Eukaryota; Viridiplantae; Streptophyta; Magnoliopsida; Apiales; Araliaceae. The record is from RNAcentral.
UUGAAAUUUGCGCUUCAUCUAGUAUCUUUUCAUGGAAAUAUUAUUUUGAGCAUUCUUGAUAAUUUUUAAUCUUUUCAUAUCGGGUUACUAUUCACAGGGUACUAUUCCCAAAGUACUAUUCACAGGGUACUAUUCACCUAGGUACUAUUCAUGAUAAAAAUUAAAAAAAAAUUCGGUCCAAAUCAUUUUUGAUACAAUAUUAUUCUUAAAUUUUACUUCACAAAACAUUAUCAUGUUGACAAUUUG